This 520-nucleotide ribosomal RNA is filed under the name uncultured Glomeromycotina. RNAcentral's name for it is "SSU rRNA". It matches the Rfam family "Eukaryotic small subunit ribosomal RNA", at positions 569 to 1091 of the family's 1831-position model. Lineage: Eukaryota; Fungi; Glomeromycota. The record is from RNAcentral.
AGCAGCCGCGGUAAUUCCAGCUCCAAUAGCGUAUAUUAAAGUUGUUGCAGUUAAAAAGCUCGUAGUUGAAUUUCGGGAUCAGCGCGUCGGUCGUGCCUCCGGUAUGCACUGGCGCCGCUGGUUUCUCCCUUCUGAGGAACCGUGAUGUCAUUAAUUUGGUGUUGCGGGAAAUCAGGACUGUUACUUUGAAAAAUUAGAGUGUUUAAAGCGGGCACGCGCUUGAAUACAUUAGCAUGGAAUAACGAAAUAGGACGUUCGAUCUUAUUUUGUUGGUUUCUAGGAUUGACGUAAUGAUUAAUAGGGAUAGUUGGGGGCAUUAGUAUUCAAUUGUCAGAGGUGAAAUUCUUGGAUUUAUUGAAGACUAACUACUGCGAAAGCAUUUGCCAAGGAUGUUUUCAUUAAUCAAGAACGAAAGUUAGGGGAUCGAAGACGAUCAGAUACCGUCGUAGUCUUAACCAAUAAACUAUGCCGACUAGGGAUCGGAUGAUGUUAAUUUUUAAUGACUCAUUCGGCGCCUUAA